UACAGAGGUCCCAAGCGUUGUUCGGAUUCACUGGGCGUAAAGGGUGCGUAGGCGGUGGGAUAAGUCCGAUGUGAAAUCUCCGAGCUUAACUCGGAAACUGCGUCGGAUACUAUUCGGCUAGAGGAUUGGAAGGGGGACUGGAAUUCCCGGCGUAGCAGUGAAAUGCGUAGAUAUCGGGAGGAACACCAGUGGCGAAGGCGAGUCCCUGGACAAUACCUGACGCUGAGGCACGAAAGCUAGGGGAGCAAACGGG
Molecule: ribosomal RNA, 253 nt
Filed under: uncultured bacterium
Lineage: Bacteria
Description: partial 16S ribosomal RNA
Rfam family: Bacterial small subunit ribosomal RNA
Source: RNAcentral